Molecule: ribosomal RNA, 253 nt
Filed under: uncultured bacterium
Lineage: Bacteria
Description: partial 16S ribosomal RNA
Rfam family: Bacterial small subunit ribosomal RNA
Source: RNAcentral
UACAGAGGGGGCAAGCGUUGUUCGGAAUUACUGGGCGUAAAGGGCGCGUAGGCGGCCAACUAAGUCAGACGUGAAAUCCCCAGGCUCAACCUGGGAACUGCGUCUGAUACUGGUUGGCUUGAAUCCGGGAGAGGGAUGCAGAAUUCCAGGUGUAGCGGUGAAAUGCGUAGAUAUCUGGAGGAAUACCGGUGGCGAAGGCGGCAUCCUGGACCGGCAUUGACGCUGAGGAGCGAAAGCCAGGGGAGCAAACGGG